AAACAGAUACCGCCGGGUAUCAUGCCGCUGUUGCCGCUCCGUUAGGCCUUUGAAGGAGUGGCUGCGGCGGUUUUUAUUUU
RNAcentral lists this non-coding RNA (80 nucleotides) under unclassified sequences. The record is from RNAcentral.